GGGCGCUUGAGAGAACUCUGGUGAAGGAACUAGGCAAAAUAGCACCGUAACUUCGGGAGAAGGUGCGCUGCUGACGGUGAAGGCCUUGCGCCGUAAGCUGUUGGCAGCCGAAGUAACCAGGCCGCUGCGACUGUUUAUUAAAAACACAGCACUCUGCAAACACGAAAGUGGACGUAUAGGGUGUGACGCCUGCCCGGUGCCGGAAGGUUAAUUGAUGGGGUCAGCCGCAAGGCGAAGCUCUUGAUCGAAGCCCCGGUAAACGGCGGCCGUAACAAUAACGGUCCUAAGGUAGCGAAAUUCCUUGUCGGGUAAGUUCCGACCUGCACGAAUGGCGUAACGAUGGCGGCGCUGUCUCCACCAGAGACUCAGUGAAAUCGAAAUCGCGGUGAAGAUGCCGUGUACCCGUGGCUAGACGGAAAGACCCCGUGAACCUUUACUGUAGCUUCACACUGGACUUUGACAUGAUCUGUGUAGGAUAGCUGGGAGGCUUUGAAGUGGUGACGCCAGUUGCCAUGGAGCCGUCCUUGAAAUACCAGCCUGGUCCUGUCGGGGUUCUAACGUCGACCUGUUAUCCAGGUUACGGACAGUGUGUGGUGGGCAGUUUGACUGGGGCGGUCUCCUCCCAAAGAGUAACGGAGGAGCACGAAGGUGCGCUAAUCACGGUCGGAAAUCGUGAGGUUAGUGUAAAGGCACAAGCGCGCUUGACUGCGAGACAGACAAGUCGAGCAGGUACGAAAGUAGGUCUUAGUGAUCCGGUGGUUCUGUAUGGAAGGGCCAUCGCUCAACGGAUAAAAGGUACUCCGGGGAUAACAGGCUGAUACCGCCCAAGAGUUCAUAUCGACGGCGGUGUUUGGCACCUCGAUGUCGGCUCAUCACAUCCUGGGGCUGAAGCCGGUCCCAAGGGUAUGGCUGUUCGCCAUUUAAAGUGGUACGCGAGCUGGGUUUAGAACGUCGUGAGACAGUUCGGUCCCUAUCUGCCAUGGGCGUUGGAGAUUUGAGAAGAGUUGCUCCUAGUACGAGAGGACCGGAGUGAACGAACCUCUGGUGUACCGGUUGUCACGCCAGUGGCAUUGCCGGGUAGCUAAGUUCGGACGGGAUAACCGCUGAAAGCAUCUAAGCGGGAAGCCUCCUUCAAGAUGAGAUCUCCCUGGAGCUUCAAGCUCCCUAAAGGGCCGUCGAAGACUACGACGUUGAUAGGCGAGGUGUGGAAGCGUUGUGAGACGUUGAGCUGACUCGUACUAAUUGCCCGUGCGGCUUGACC
This 1261-nucleotide ribosomal RNA is filed under the name metagenome. Its description in RNAcentral is "bacterial LSU rRNA". It matches the Rfam family "Bacterial large subunit ribosomal RNA", at positions 1684 to 2925 of the family's 2925-position model. The record is from RNAcentral.